UGUACAGGCAUCGAGAACCGAGCGUUGCUCGGUUGGCUAGCAUCGCUGGUGAGCGAGCAGCCCGCGCGGGUUCGAUCCCUGGGAUCAUCAUCCGCGCGUCUCACCGGGAUUUAUUCCCAAAUAAAUUUCCAGCUCUCCUGUGCCAGCGCCACAAUAGUAGAGUGACGUCCUCGUCACGCACAAGGUUCUUAGGUGGCUUUGUGCAUCUCAUUAGCACGUGUGUGUAUAGUUGAUAGGUCUAGCAUGCGUGUAGGGGUGUGUGUGUGUGCGUGGUGGAGUGCGUUUGCACGUAUGUUCAGAUAGUUGAUAGGUCUAGCAUGCGUGCCAGCGCCACAAUAGUAGAGUGACGUCCUCGUCACGCACAAGGUUCUUAGGUGGCUUUGUGCAUCUCAUUAGCACGUGUGUGUAUAGUUGAUAGGUCUAGCAUGCGUGUAGGGGUGUGUGUGUGCGUGGUGGAGUGCGUUUGCACGUAUGUUCAGAUACUACAGCUUGUACUCAAAGCGGAGAGCUCUCAAAAAAAAAAUUGUACAG
Non-coding RNA from Oryza sativa Japonica Group (Japanese rice), 531 nucleotides. The record is from RefSeq and is a predicted model, not a curated record. Lineage: Eukaryota; Viridiplantae; Streptophyta; Magnoliopsida; Poales; Poaceae.